Molecule: regulatory RNA element, 117 nt
Organism: Sphingomonas sanxanigenens
Lineage: Bacteria; Pseudomonadati; Pseudomonadota; Alphaproteobacteria; Sphingomonadales; Sphingomonadaceae
Rfam family: ALIL pseudoknot
Source: Rfam
CGCAUAUUUUGCCCAGGCGGAGCUCGACCGCCCGUUCAAGCGAUGACCGCCUUCAUUGACGACCAUCGUGACGAGUAUGGGGUCGAGCCGAUCUGCCGGGUUCUGCCGAUCGCCCCA